This 254-nucleotide ribosomal RNA is filed under the name uncultured bacterium. Its description in RNAcentral is "partial 16S ribosomal RNA". It matches the Rfam family "Bacterial small subunit ribosomal RNA", at positions 524 to 776 of the family's 1533-position model. The record is from RNAcentral.
UACGGAGGAUCCAAGCGUUAUCCGGAAUUACUGGGCGUAAAGAGUUGCGUAGGUGGCAUAGUAAGUAGACAGUGAAAGCGUUCGGCUCAACCGGAUACACAUUAUCUAAACUGCUAAGCUCGAGGAUGAGAGAGGUUAUUGGAAUUCCCUGUGUAGGAGUGAAAUCCGUAGAUAUAGGGAGGAACACCGAUGGCGUAGGCAGAUAACUGGCUCAUUCCUGACACUAAGGCACGAAAGCGUGGGGAGCAAACGGG